Molecule: ribosomal RNA, 443 nt
Filed under: uncultured bacterium
Lineage: Bacteria
Description: partial 16S ribosomal RNA
Rfam family: Bacterial small subunit ribosomal RNA
Source: RNAcentral
CCUACGGGUGGCAGCAGUGGGGAAUAUUGGGCAAUGGGCGCAAGCCUGACCCAGCAACGCCGCGUGAAGGAAGAAGGCUUUCGGGUUGUAAACUUCUUUUGUCAGGGACGAAGCAGGUGACAGUACCUGACGAAUAAGCCACGGCCAACUACGUGCCAGCAGCCGCGGUAAGACGGAGGUGGCAAGCGUUAUGCGGAUUUAUUGGGUGUAAAGGGCGUGUAGGCGGGAAUGGAAGUCAGAUGUGAAAACUACGGGCGCAACCCAUAGCCUGCAUUUGAAACUGGAUUUCUUGAGUGCUGGAGAGGCAAUCGGAAUUCCGGGGGUAGCGGUGAAAUGCGUAGAUAUACGGAGGAACACCAGUGGCGAAGGCGGAUUGCUGGACAGUAACUGACGCUGAGGCGCGAAAGCGUGGGGAGCAAACAGGAUUAGAUACCCUUGUAGUC